Molecule: ribosomal RNA, 1339 nt
Filed under: uncultured bacterium
Lineage: Bacteria
Description: bacterial SSU rRNA
Rfam family: Bacterial small subunit ribosomal RNA
Source: RNAcentral
GACGAACGCUGGCGGCGCGCCUAACACAUGCAAGUCGAACGAUAGAUGAAGAGCUUGCUCUUCAAAUCGAGUGGCGAACGGGUGAGUAACGCGUGAGGAACCUGCCUCAAAGAGGGGGACAACAGUUGGAAACGACUGCUAAUACCGCAUAAGCCCACGGCUCGGCAUCGAGCACAGGGAAAAGGAGCAAUCCGCUGUUGAGAUGGCCUCGCGUCCGAUUAGCUAGUUGGUGAGGUAACGGCCCACCAAGGCGACGAUCGGUAGCCGGACUGAGAGGUUGAACGGCCACAUUGGGACUGACACACGGCCCACACUCCUACGGGAGGCAGCAUUGGGGAAUAUUGCACAAUGGGGGAAACCCUGAUGCAGCGACGCCGCGUGGAGGAAGAAGGUCUUCGGAUUGUAAACUCCUGUUGUUGAGGAAGAUAAUGACGGUACUCAACAAGGAAGUGACGGCUAACUACGUGCCAGCAGCCGCGGUAAAACGUAGGUCACAAGCGUUGUCCGGAAUUACUGGGUGUAAAGGGAGCGCAGGCGGGAGACACAAGUUGGAAGUGAAAUCCAUGGGCUCAACCCAUGAACUGCUUUCAAAACUGUUUUUCUUGAGUAGUGCAGAGGUAGGCGGAAUUCCCGGUGUAGCGGUGGAAUGCGUAGAUAUCGGGAGGAACACCAGUGGCGAAGGCGGCGUACUUGGCACCAACUGACGCUGAGGCUCGAAAGUGUGGGUAGCAAACAAGAGGAGAUACCCUGGUAGUCCACACCGUAAACGACGAUUAAUGGUUGAUGGAGGAUUACCCUUUCAGUGCCGCAGUUAACACAAUAAGUAAUCCACCUGGGGAGUGCGACCGCAAGGUAGAAUCUCAAAAGAAUAGACGGGGGCCCGCACACGCAGUGGAGUAUGUGGUUUAAUUUGACGCAACGCGAAGAACCUUCCCAAGUCUUGACAUCCCUUGACGAACAUAGAAAUAUGUUUUCUCUUUGGAGCAAGGAGACAGGUGGUGCAUGGUUGUCGUCAGCUCGUGUCGUGAGAGGGUGGGGUAAGUCCCGCAACGAGCGCAACCCUUAUGGUCAGUUACUACGCAAGAGGGCUUUGGCCAGACUGCCGUUGGCAAAACGGAGGAAGGGGGGGGGGGCGUCAAAUCAUCAUUCCCCCUAUGACUUGGGGUACACCCCUACUACAAAGGCGUUAAACAAAGAGAAGCAAGACCGCGAGGUGGAGCAAAACUCAGAAACAACGUCCCAGUUCGGAGUGCAGGCUGCAACUCGCUUGCACGAAGUCGGAAUUGCUAGUAAUCGUGGAUCAGCAUGCCACGGUGAAUAAAAGCCCCCGCCUUGUACA